GUGAUUGAUUGCCAAGAUAUCACAUAUACUAAAAUUAGAACAGAGAGAAAAUUAACCUGGCCUCCAAGCAAGGGUGACAUGCAAAUUUGUGAAGCAGUUCAUUUCUUU
Sciurus carolinensis (gray squirrel) is the source of this 108-nucleotide small nuclear RNA. The record is from RefSeq and is a predicted model, not a curated record. Lineage: Eukaryota; Metazoa; Chordata; Mammalia; Rodentia; Sciuridae.